UCUACAGCAUACAUCGGAUCUACGGCACACC
This 31-nucleotide non-coding RNA is filed under the name Rattus norvegicus (Norway rat). The record is from RNAcentral. Lineage: Eukaryota; Metazoa; Chordata; Mammalia; Rodentia; Muridae.